Molecule: ribosomal RNA, 497 nt
Filed under: uncultured bacterium
Lineage: Bacteria
Description: partial 16S ribosomal RNA
Rfam family: Bacterial small subunit ribosomal RNA
Source: RNAcentral
GAUGAACGCUGGCGGCGUGCCUAAUACAUGCAAGUCGAGCGAACAGACGAGGAGCUUGCUCCUCUGACGUUAGCGGCGGACGGGUGAGUAACACGUGGAUAACCUACCUAUAAGACUGGGAUAACUUCGGGAAACCGGAGCUAAUACCGGAUAAUAUAUUGAACCGCAUGGUUCAAUAGUGAAAGACGGUUUUGCUGUCACUUAUAGAUGGAUCCGCGCCGCAUUAGCUAGUUGGUAAGGUAACGGCUUACCAAGGCAACGAUGCGUAGCCGACCUGAGAGGGUGAUCCGCCACACUUGAACUGAGACACGGUCCAGACUCCUACGGGAGGCAGCAGGAGGGAAUCUUCCGCAAUGGGCGAAAGCCUGACGGAGCAACGCCGCGUGAGUGAUGAAGGUCUUCGGAUCGUAAAACUCUGUUAUUAGGGAAGAACAAAUGUGUAAGUAACUAUGCACGUCUUGACGGUACCUAAUCAGAAAGCCACGGCUAACUACGUG